This 632-nucleotide ribosomal RNA is filed under the name uncultured bacterium. RNAcentral's name for it is "bacterial SSU rRNA". It matches the Rfam family "Bacterial small subunit ribosomal RNA", at positions 33 to 662 of the family's 1533-position model. The record is from RNAcentral.
ACGCUGGCGGCAGGCCUAACACAUGCAAGUCGAACGGUAACAGGAUGUGCUUGCACAUCGCUGACGAGUGGCGGACGGGUGAGUAAUGCUUGGGAACUUGCCUUUGCGAGGGGGAUAACAGUUGGAAACGACUGCUAAUACCGCAUAAUGUCUUCGGACCAAACGGGGCUUAGGCUCCGGCGCAAAGAGAGGCCCAAGUGAGAUUAGCUAGUUGGUAAGGUAACGGCUUACCAAGGCGACGAUCUCUAGCUGUUCUGAGAGGAAGAUCAGCCACACUGGGACUGAGACACGGCCCAGACUCCUACGGGAGGCAGCAGUGGGGAAUAUUGCACAAUGGGGGAAACCCUGAUGCAGCCAUGCCGCGUGUGUGAAGAAGGCCUUCGGGUUGUAAAGCACUUUCAGUUGUGAGGAAAAGUUAGUAGUUAAUACCUGCUAGCCGUGACGUUAACAACAGAAGAAGCACCGGCUAACUCCGUGCCAGCAGCCGCGGUAAUACGGAGGGUGCGAGCGUUAAUCGGAAUUACUGGGCGUAAAGCGCACGCAGGCGGUUUGUUAAGCUAGAUGUGAAAGCCCCGGGCUCAACCUGGGAUGGUCAUUUAGAACUGGCAGACUAAAGUCUUGGAGAGGGGAGU